GCCCUGGCAUGCCUGGGGGCUGUUCUGCUUUGUUCUCAGUCUCAGGCCGGGGCAGUGGGCUCUUAAACACACAAAUUACAAUAUUUUAUUUUUCUUCACAUUGAGUCACAGAGGUCACAUUCCCGAGCCUGGGCCUAAAGGCGUAGAAUUUUGCUUUUAUAUUUUUUCACAGGCACACCAUUAUAUUAUAUGGUUGUGAGCCACCACGUGGGUUCAGGACCUCUGGAAGAUCAGUCGGUGCUGAGCCAUCUCUCCAAUCCCGCAACUAACUCUCUGUCUCUCUCUCUCACAUCUUUUUAAAAAAUUAUUAUUAUUACUCUGUGUGCAUGAGUGUUUUCCUUCAUGUGUGUCUGCACCACACAUGCUAGUGCUAAAGAAAGUGGUAACCCUCCAUGUGGAUGCUGGGAAUCGAGUCUUUUGCAAUGGAGUCCUUGCUCUUAACUACUGAACCAACUCUCCCGUCCUAUAAGUAAAUCUUCAGAGCACUAAUCUAUUCUACUUCAAGUUUCUCCUGCAUCAGAUCCAGGCCAGCUGGAGCGAGCUACACGGUUACCCCCCCUCCUCCCAAAGGGGAAAAUAAGGAUCAGGUGAAAAUGUUUGGAAAUUACAAUAGUAGAAUAUAAAGAAAGAAUAUGAAGGCGGCCAUGAAGGGGUAGAAAGGUAGAUGACCAGGCGUCAUCCCUGAUGUCACGGGUAUGGGCGUGGUGUAUGCAGAUAAGCGCGCAGGGUCUGCCGGGUCCGCGCUCCGUGCAGAAAUGUGAGGGGUUUCUCCCGCGGCGAGGGAGGGAGCGCGGAUACGCGGGUGUCAGCAGAGCGCAAGAAUGUCGUGUGCGACGAGGGAGACCCGAGAUCGGCCAGGGCUAAGUGACCGUGUGUUAAGAGUGUAGAGGCGACGGGUGUGAGCCGGGGCCGGGCAGUGGGAAAGCAUACUUACCUGGCAGGGGAGAUACCAUGAUCAUGAAGGUGGUUUUCCCAGGGCGAGGCUCACCCAUUGCACUUUGGGGUGUGCUGACCCCUGCGAUUUCCCCAAAUGCGGGAAACUCGACUGCAUAAUUUGUGGUAGUGGGGGACUGCGUUCGCGCUCUCCCCUGAUUUUUGUGGUGCUAAAAGUUAGAUUGCAUUCCGCCCUUCUCACGUCUCUUUACGUGUUGUUUGCGAGGCGUGGCCUCGGA
This 1172-nucleotide long non-coding RNA is filed under the name Mus musculus (house mouse). RNAcentral describes it as "long non-coding RNA chr3:96373094-96374266". The stretch from base 927 to 1091 matches the Rfam family "U1 spliceosomal RNA". The record is from RNAcentral. Lineage: Eukaryota; Metazoa; Chordata; Mammalia; Rodentia; Muridae.